UACGGAGGGAGCUAGCGUUGUUCGGAUCUACUGGGCGUAAAGCGCACGUAGGCGGCGCCGUAAGUCAGGGGUGAAAUCCCGGAGCUCAACUCCGGAACUGCCCUUGAAACUGCAGUGCUAGAAUUCUGGAGAGGCGAGUGGAAUUCCGAGUGUAGAGGUGAAAUUCGUAGAUAUUGGGAAGAACACCGGUGGCGAAGGCGGCGACCUGGUCCAUUACUGACGCUGAGGCACGACAGCGUGGGGAGCAAACAGG
Molecule: ribosomal RNA, 253 nt
Filed under: uncultured bacterium
Lineage: Bacteria
Description: partial 16S ribosomal RNA
Rfam family: Bacterial small subunit ribosomal RNA
Source: RNAcentral